GAGUAUUUGUCCUUAUUUAAGAAGGGAGAGCAGUUGAUCUUAAAUUUUUUCUUAAGAAAAAAAAAAAGAUGUCUCCAUUAAAUAUAGUUUGUUGUCCGUGGUUUGUCAUCCGUCGGUGAAAACAUCCUUUCAACCACCGGAUCGGAGAAACCAUUUACUAUUGUUUAUCAUGGGAAAAAAAAGGUUAUGAAAAACCCUAAAAAUCCAUUAGAUAUGAAGUGCUCCGAACACCGCCUUUGAAAACCAUCAGAAACCACCUUUGAAACCCAUUGUCUUUGAAAUCUCUGGAACCCCGAUUUGAAACCUCUCCUCUGCAUCUGCAACCACCUCUGAAGCUCGCUCUGAACCCCUUCUGAGUAUCGGCCUUGAAAAAUCUAUCUGAAAUCUAAUUUGAAACCCUAUGUAAAACUGCCAUAUGAUAUCUUGUUUGCCGGUCGUCUUGUCUGAAGUUGGUCGGCUUCUGCAAACAAUUUUCCGGCAAUAUAUUUUUCCUGUGACCUUGUUUUUUUUGCCGAAAUCAGAGGUUAAGUUAUGGUUCUGGCUUAAAACAUCGAUUUCAUGCCGUGAAACCAAAUCCUCAAGCUUCCUCCAUUGUUUUCUAACGUCCAGCCACCGCUGCCAUCUCUGCGUCACUUUGUUUUCCCCCGUGCUCUCCUUUUUUGUUGUCUGCAAUACAAAACCAAAAGUUAUCCCAUGUUUUGCUCUUGGUUUGCAAUAGCAAAACAAAACCAAAGUUCUCAAUAAAAGAUAAGGUGUCUUGUCUAUUUUGAACAGGACGUACACAUUUAAAAGGCAAAGGGGAUCGUGGGUUGGGUCUUUUG
Molecule: long non-coding RNA, 821 nt
Filed under: Amborella trichopoda
Lineage: Eukaryota; Viridiplantae; Streptophyta; Magnoliopsida; Amborellales; Amborellaceae
Description: long non-coding RNA (ATRI_LNC001991)
Source: RNAcentral